CAGCAGCCACGGUAAUACGGAGGGGGCUAGCGUUGUUCGGAAUUACUGGGCGUAAAGCGCACGUAGGCGGCUUGGUAAGUUAGAGGUGAAAGCCUGGAGCUCAACUCCAGAAUUGCCUUUAAGACUGCCGAGCUAGCAGGUGAGAGAGGUAAGUGGAAUUCCGAGUGUAGAGGUGAAAUUCGUAGAUAUUCGGAAGAACACCAGUGGCGAAGGCGGCUUACUGGCUCAUACUGGACGCUGAGGUGCGAAAGCGUGGGGAGCAAACAGGAUUAGAGACCCGCGUAGUCCCUGUCUCUUAUAC
This 301-nucleotide ribosomal RNA is filed under the name uncultured bacterium. Its description in RNAcentral is "partial 16S ribosomal RNA". It matches the Rfam family "Bacterial small subunit ribosomal RNA", at positions 509 to 807 of the family's 1533-position model. The record is from RNAcentral.